This 242-nucleotide ribosomal RNA is filed under the name uncultured anaerobic ammonium-oxidizing bacterium. RNAcentral's name for it is "partial 16S ribosomal RNA". It matches the Rfam family "Bacterial small subunit ribosomal RNA", at positions 441 to 674 of the family's 1533-position model. The record is from RNAcentral.
AGUUAAGAAAUGUAGGCUCGCUAAUAUCGUGUCUAUUUGACAAAGGCUCCAAAGGAAGCCACGUCUAACUCUGUGCCAGCAGCCGCGGUAAUACAGAGGUGGCAAGCGUUGUUCGGAAUUAUUGGUCGUAAAGAGCACGUAGGUGGAUCUGUAAGUCAGAUGUGAAAGCCUUCUGUUCAACGGGAGAAUUGCAUCUGAAACUACAGACCUUGAGUGUAGGAGGGGAGAGUGGAACUUCUGGU